GAUGAACGCUGGCGGCGUGCUUAACACAUGCAAGUCGAACGGAAAGGCUCCUGCUUGCAGGGGUACUCGAGUGGCGAACGGGUGAGUAACACGUGGGUGAUCUGCCCUGCACUUCGGGAUAAGCCCGGGAAACUGGGUCUAAUACCGGAUAGGACCACAUUUUGGAUGGUGUGGUGGAAAGGUUUUCGGUGUGGGAUGAGCUCGCGGCCUAUCAGCUUGUUGGUGGGGUAAUGGCCUACCAAGGCGUCGACGGGUAGCCGGCCUGAGAGGGUGUACGGCCACAUUGGGACUGAGAUACGGCCCAGACUCCUACGGGAGGCAGCAGUGGGGAAUAUUGCACAAUGGGCGCAAGCCUGAUGCAGCGACGCCGCGUGGGGGAUGACGGCCUUCGGGUUGUAAACUCCUUUCGCUAGGGACGAAGCGCAAGUGACGGUACCUGGAGAAGAAGCACCGGCUAACUACGUG
Molecule: ribosomal RNA, 465 nt
Filed under: uncultured bacterium
Lineage: Bacteria
Description: partial 16S ribosomal RNA
Rfam family: Bacterial small subunit ribosomal RNA
Source: RNAcentral